This 253-nucleotide unclassified non-coding RNA is filed under the name uncultured Halomonadaceae bacterium. Its description in RNAcentral is "contains 16S-23S intergenic spacer region". It matches the Rfam family "Bacterial small subunit ribosomal RNA", at positions 524 to 776 of the family's 1533-position model. The record is from RNAcentral. Lineage: Bacteria; Pseudomonadati; Pseudomonadota; Gammaproteobacteria; Oceanospirillales; Halomonadaceae.
UACGUAGGUGGCAAGCGUUAUCCGGAAUUACUGGGCGUAAAGCGCGCGUAGGUGGCUUGAUAAGCCGAUUGUGAAGGCCCCGGGCUCAACCUGGGAACGGCAUCCGGAACUGUCAAGCUAGAGUGCAGGAGAGGAAGGUAGAAUUCCCGGUGUAGCGGUGAAAUGCGUAGAGAUCGGGAGGAAUACUAGUGGCGAAGGCGGCCUUCUGGACUGACACUGACACUGAGGUGCGAAAGCGUGGGUAGCAAAUAGG